UACGUAGGGUGCAAGCGUUGUCCGGAAUUAUUGGGCGUAAAGAGCUCGUAGGCGGUCUGUUGCGUCGGCUGUGAAAACCCGAGGCUCAACCCCGGAGGGUCAGCCGAUACUGGCAGACUAGAGUACGGAAGAGGUAGCUGGAAUUCCUGGUGUAGCGGUGAAAUGCGCAGAUAUCAGGAGGAACACCGAUGGCGAAGGCAGGUCUCUGGGCCACUACUGACGCUGAGAAGCGAAAGCAUGGGGAGCGAACAGG
This 253-nucleotide ribosomal RNA is filed under the name uncultured bacterium. Its description in RNAcentral is "partial 16S ribosomal RNA". It matches the Rfam family "Bacterial small subunit ribosomal RNA", at positions 524 to 776 of the family's 1533-position model. The record is from RNAcentral.